Molecule: long non-coding RNA, 2191 nt
Filed under: Leguminivora glycinivorella
Lineage: Eukaryota; Metazoa; Arthropoda; Insecta; Lepidoptera; Tortricidae
Description: uncharacterized LOC125239991
Source: RNAcentral
GAAGUGGAUAUUUUUUUCAAAUAUUCAUUAUUUUUCGAAAGGUGGUUUUGGAUUUGAGCUGUGUUCAUCUUACACAAUAUGGAAAUUACGUUAUUCGGUGUUUAAAAGUUUCUACCAAUGUCGCAGGAAGACAAAAAAUUUGUUUGGAUUAAAAUAGAACCCAAUUCCGUAGAGAUCGAAGCUACCAUCACGGACCAUGAAGUAGAGAAAGUGAACUCCCAGACCAGUCAUUCAUAUAAGAUGAAGCCUGAGCCUGAUUGGGCAAUCGAGGACAAAGAGUUUGACGAGAGUGUUGCGCAGGCAGGCCUGUACGCUGACCACAUUAUUAAGGAAGAGGUUGCGCUCGGACCUGAGGUGAUACAGCAGCCUAAAGUAGCAAUGCCUUACCCAGAAUACCGUGCAGCAACAAGCCCUACAGAACCGAUUUGGCCUAAAUCCACAAAAAAUGUAAUUUUUACGUGUCAAUCAUGUCAGAAAACCUUUUACCAAGAAGACAGUUUAAGAAGGCAUGUGUUCGCAAUUCAUGCUAAAUAUGAAAUCCCUAAAACUAAAAUGAAAAAAAUGCACAUCUGCAUGUUUUGUUGCCAAAUGUUUCUAUCUAAAAAUGGUUUGACUGAACACUUGAAGAUUCACUUUAGAGAAUCCAAUAAACUUCAAGAAAAUGUUAUUUUUGACAAGAAACUUAAUGUAUUCAGCCCAGAAAAACUAUUUCAAUGGAACCUGAUAAUGAAUACAAUACGGCACAUUUCACAGAAGUCAAAGACCGUUUCAAAAAACCAUACACGUGUAAAGAAUGUCAAGAAACUUUUGUCCUGCAAAAGUGUCUUGAAGAGCAUAUUUUGGACAACCAUGCUCUCCCUGAAUAUCAUGAUAAAGUGUUAUAUGCAUGUAAACCAUGUCUUAAAACAUUUGAUUCGAUGGAGAGUCUCACAAGGCACAGGUUUGCUAUACACACAAAACAUGAGCUUAACAGCUGCAGAAGCCAUGAAAUUGAUCAAGACGGAGUAAUGCGUUCCUGUUACUUUUGCUGUCAAUGGGUUGAUAAAGAAGAUUUAUUUAAACAUAUGGAACUUCACAUAGAAUUUGCUAGUGAGAUUAACGAUUAACUUACAAAAUAUAUAGGUAUAUUAUCGGACUUUAAAAAUAAGACUCAAGUUUUCUGACGCAGGAAUAAAUUUUGCGAAAAACGAGUAUACUCGUUAUGCAGAAAAUAAUGUUAGACAGAUCGAAUUUGUCUAAAAAAAAUUAAGCUGUAACUUAAGAGUAUUGUGCUAUGCCGAGCUUCGUUUAAAGGAUUGUGUGAGGUCGAAAAUGUCCAAGAAAAUAAAAACAUUUUCAAUGCGCAAUAUUUUUACUCUUGCAUUUUGUCGGAAUCCGACGGUCAAAUCCGAAUCCGUGAAAUUAAGAUCCGUCAUAGCCGUAGAAUGUAGAUAUCUUUCCGUCAUUUUUCGGAUCUACUUAGUGCGUAAACUCCCAUACCAAUAGUUCUACGCCCAUGAUGGAUUCUAUUUUCGCGGAUUUGGACCUAAUUCGUUAAGAGUAUUGAAUAUGUCUAAUGCCGACUCCAUAUCUCGCUAACGUCUUACCGCGCAAUAAAAACUACAAUGCCUAUUACGUAUAAACUAAUUUCACAGUUGUAACUUUGUUAACUUAUCUGUUUUUCUUUUUUGACUCGGUAUUUUGAUCAAUUGUAAUAUGGCUGAACAAAUUGAGUGAAUUGCUUGAAUAUAGUCAUUGUUUUGUUAUAAAGGACGACUGUGUACAGAGAUCUAUCCUAUUAGGUUUUGGCUGCUGAUUAUCAAAGUCUCUGUUACCAUGUCGCUCAUAUGCUCACUGCUCAUGGGUAUAGCACUAGUUGCUAUCGUUCGCGGUGAUAUGAGCAGUUGCAUUAUGAAGGAUAUUGGUACACAUGAUGGUAGCUUCUACUCUGAAUAUGCUGUAAAGCUUUCUACCGGGACAACCAGAGACGUGGAAAUGGCAACUUUCAUCUGCAGCGAAAGAUCAUUGAAGUGUGUCGGUGUGCAAAUGCAUGUGUGCAAUAAUAACCGUAGCAACACGCACACAGCCGUAAUCGACGGACCCCCAAGGGACAGUUUGUCUCCCGUGAACAUUACCUGUCGGGACCCAACUGGCUGCUCACUUUUUGUUAAAGAAGAAUGCGCGAAAAAAGAAUAUAAUGUUUAACGAAAAA